AGUGCCCUCAAUAUGAGGCAGUUAUGGAUAGAAAAGACACAUUUGCCCUCAGAAAAUGGAAGGGAAGCCAAAGGGGAAAGCAAGGAGAAGUGUUGAAAAUUUUUCUGACAUUGCAGCUGGCUCUCUUUUCUGUAGACAUCAUAGGAUGGAGCCUGGUUUUGUGGGGCCUUUAUUUUGAGACUGAAAAAUCAUGUGACAGCUGGUACCACUGCCUCUUCCCCUCACAUGCACACAUCUCCAGGAACCCAGGUGCUCUUUUUGGGGCCUCUUUUCUUUCUCAUCUCCCGUCUCUGUGAAACUUCCCCAAAAUCAGGUUUGUCACUGAUCCUAAAGUAUUCCUAGGGGAUUUUCUGUCCUACAAGGGGAGGGGGAGGGGAGGUUAACAGAUUGAAACAGAAGCCUUCCACCCUCCCACUCUAAAUCCCACCCACUCUUCAGAACUGACCCCAGGCUAAGCCUCUGAAAGCUGUUAGGCAGCUGUGAGGGUCGCAGCAGCAGGAUGUUCAGCAGAGAGAGAGAGCAGAUGGGGAAUUAUUUAUUAAUCUUGUUGUCUAUCCUUGCACUAGCGAUCAUGGAGAAAGCCCAUCUGGUGCUCACUCUUCCCCCCAACUCCCCCCCCCCCCGGAUGCUGUAUGCAGCACAGCAUCAAGCUCCUUAGAACCAGGCAGGCGCUGCCAUUCCUUUUCUGGCUUGCCUACCUACCCCUCUGCUUUUCUCUCUCUCUCUUUCUUUCCCCCCCCCCCCAAUCAUGUUUGGCCUGCUGCGGCUGCCAUGAUCCCAGUGAGUUUUUCUGCAUGGCCUGAUGCUUGUGCUCUGGGAUUCAGGUACCUUGGGUGUUUUUUGCCGUGACAAGCAUACACUUGAGUUGUGUGCCUUUCUGUGUCUGCAAACCUACACACUAUCCUACCUAAAAUAACCUGCUGAUUUGAAGUGGGAAAGCAACCAACCUGCCACCCUGUUACAAAAACCUGUUAUUGUUAAAAAAAAAUUUAAAAGUUGUUUUGCAUGAUUAUACCGUGGAACAGGAGAGAAGCCCUCACCGUGUAAUUGGUUUGUGUUCUGAAGCCUGGUGGAAAGACUCUUGAGAGGACGACAAAACCUAAUGUAAAUGUUCACAAAUUAUGCAUGCAUGUUAUGACCAGCUUGGAACUUGGUAUUGGCUAUCUCUCUAGCCAGCUGUGGGGUGAUGGGGGGGGUGGGGACGAGGGAGUUCUUUGUGCUCAGCUGAUUACUGCCAUGCACUGUACUGCACAUGUCCGCAACGCCUCAUAAGGACCGUUAACGCUUUUCGGGGGC
This 1296-nucleotide long non-coding RNA is filed under the name Pogona vitticeps (central bearded dragon). RNAcentral describes it as "lncRNA (ENSPVIG00000025015.1)". Lineage: Eukaryota; Metazoa; Chordata; Lepidosauria; Squamata; Agamidae. The record is from RNAcentral.